GUCGAGGAUCUUCAGUUCAUCCCACCGUAGUGUGACCGAUGAAAACAGCGCUGGCGCUGGUAUCAGUCUCUCUGGAUUUACUUGAAAUAUGAUUUGCUGGAGUCGAUAUAGACUUUGGGCUUCGAGUAGAAACGGAUUUCCCUAUCGACUAUGUCCAGCUCUUUGUUGAUUUCGUCCUUUCGACUGCGCACCCACAGACUCUGUGAG
This is a long non-coding RNA of Drosophila subobscura, 207 nucleotides long. RefSeq lists it as uncharacterized. The record is from RefSeq and is a predicted model, not a curated record. NCBI's taxonomy places the organism in Eukaryota, Metazoa, Arthropoda, Insecta, Diptera, Drosophilidae. The transcript has 3 exons.